RNAcentral lists this ribosomal RNA (404 nucleotides) under uncultured bacterium. Its description in RNAcentral is "bacterial SSU rRNA". It matches the Rfam family "Bacterial small subunit ribosomal RNA", at positions 362 to 758 of the family's 1533-position model. The record is from RNAcentral.
UUUUGGACAAUGGGCGCAAGCCUGAUCCAGCCAUUCCGCGUGAGUGAAGAAGGCCUUCGGGUUGUAAAGCUCUUUCGCAAGGGCAGCCCAGAUUACUCUCUAAUAUAGAGUGAUUAUGACGGUACCUUGAUAAGAAGCACCGGCUAACUACGUGCCAGCAGCCGCGGUAAUACGUAGGGUGCGAGCGUUAAUCGGAAUUACUGGGCGUAAAGCGUGCGCAGGCGGUUUUGUAAGUCUGAUGUGAAAUCCCCGAGCUCAACUUGGGAACUGCGUUUGAAACUACAAGACUAGAAUAGGUCAGAGGGGGGUAGAAUUCCACGUGUAGCAGUGAAAUGCGUAGAGAUGUGGAGGAAUAUCAAUGGCGAAGGCAGCCCCCUGGGAUCAUAUUACGCUCAUGCACGAAA